AUUAUAGAGAAGUACUCAAAAUCAAACGUUGAGAUUCAUACUUUUAAUCAGAGCCAGUAUCCUCGUCUGGUUGUUGAGGAUUUUACUCCAUUGCCAAGCAAAGGGCAGACUGGCAAGGAUGGAUGGUAUCCUCCUGGACAUGGUGAUGUGUUCCCAUCCUUGAAGAACAGUGGCAAGCUUGAUUCUUUCUUAUUACAGGGCAAGGAGUAUGUAUUUGUUGCCAACUCAGAUAACCUUGGUGCUAUUGUUGAUUUGAAAAUCCUAAAUCAUCUGAUCAGAAACAAGAAUGAGUACUGCAUGGAGGUAACACCCAAAACCCUGGCUGAUGUAAAGGG
Molecule: unclassified non-coding RNA, 335 nt
Filed under: Hevea brasiliensis (rubber tree)
Lineage: Eukaryota; Viridiplantae; Streptophyta; Magnoliopsida; Malpighiales; Euphorbiaceae
Source: RNAcentral